Long non-coding RNA from Hyalella azteca, 339 nucleotides. RefSeq lists it as uncharacterized. The transcript has 3 exons. NCBI's taxonomy places the organism in Eukaryota, Metazoa, Arthropoda, Malacostraca, Amphipoda, Hyalellidae. The record is from RefSeq and is a predicted model, not a curated record.
UCUACAAGCUUGCGAGCGACAGCGCUUCCCCUCUUUUUCGAGUGGACGCUCAGUCAGGCGCCCUGGAGCUGCUUGGUCCCCUCGACUUCGAGUACCAAACUCAGCACAACCUGACGGUUGUAGCAACGAGCAAGGAUGGCAAGAUCGGCAGCAACGAAGCUCACGUGACAGUCGAGGUGCUUGACGCCAACGAUCACUCGCCAGUCUUCGCCGUCCAGCGACAUGAGGCGCAAAUAACUGAAGAAGAUAACCACAACUUGCCCAGGCCCGUAUUUACGGUUACAGCUACCGAUGGAGAUAAGGGAGAGUGGGGAGUGCUGCGGUAUUCUAUUUCUGGGG